This is a long non-coding RNA of Mesocricetus auratus (golden hamster), 1395 nucleotides long. RefSeq lists it as uncharacterized. The transcript is spliced from 4 exons. The record is from RefSeq and is a predicted model, not a curated record. NCBI's taxonomy places the organism in Eukaryota, Metazoa, Chordata, Mammalia, Rodentia, Cricetidae.
UCGCUAAGACAGCAACUGAUGAGUUUGGGACAGGAGAGCCUCGCCUCUUCAAGAUCCACUGUCUUUCACAUUCAGAUAGUCCCGUCCCAGAGGGCGUAACCGUCUUGGAACGCCUUUUGGCUUCGUAAAUGAUGACUGCGUCCACCCAGAACUCCUGCACCUACCGCUUCCCCUCCACAGACUUCUCUUAGUCUUGAGCCGAUUUCAAGUCUUUCACGUGACAGAGGUCUGUGUCUCCAGCCCACAUUUCUCCCCGAGGCUCGGUCUCGGGAGCUCGGUGAGCUCGGUGAGCUCGAGGGGCUCCCCCCGAGUCUCCUCACCCCCCACGGCGGGUGUUCCUGCACAUUGUGCUCCUCGGGGUUUCCCAAACCAGCCCUUUCUACUCCGGCAUCCUGAGCACUGGGGUUUGGAUACGGCCCCUGUGUCUUCUUCCUGGAUUCUUCGGUUACACCUUUCCCGAUGCAUUUUUCGUUUUGUUUUGCAAGUAAGGAUGCAAACCAGACUGGUUUGCUUUUGAAACCAUCGUUGAUUUUUCUGGUCAUACCGCAGUACGCAAAUCAGAGUUGUUGGGAGGGUGUUUCCCAGCGGUGCCCGAGCCAGGGUGAAUGAAGAGAAGUCAGGAAAGCACUCAGAGAUGACGCUGUUUCCCCCCACUGAGAACUUAGAUGAUCCAGAACUUCCCAAGGUACACAUCCCUGCCUGGACACCUGCAGGGUCCUGCUCGGUCGUCAAGGAAAAGUUGAAAUAAGCUUGGAACCUGAUGAAACUGGCACAGGGACGGUCUUUUGAUGUGCAUGGUGGUUGUCUGUCAGGCGAAGUGACCACAGGGGGCUGAAGAAAGGCUCAGUGGGUAAAGGUGCCUCGCAAGCCUGCUGAGUUCAGUUUGACCCCGAGAACCCAGCGGGAAAUAGAGUACUGAUGCCACCGAGUCCUGGGAAGUCCACAUGUGUCAGAGCAUGUCUGUGCUGCCCCAUAAGUUACAUGCACAAACAUGCUAAUAAUAGGUAAAAAUCAAAGAGACUCCAGGGCCCAUCUUUGGAUCAAUAAGACUGGAAGCAAAGGAAAGAAACUUUUUGUUAUUUGUUUCUUUUCUCUCAUUUAUUUAACAGGCUUUCUGUAUGACCUUCAGUCCUACAUCAUGACUGUGAAAAUUUGAUGACAUCUUGACUUUUUUUUUUUUUUACAGUGACCCAAUCCCUGGUUUCAGUAAUACCUCCCUGGACUAACAUUCUUCUCUCUCACCGUGUUGCUAUAAUAAUUCAUCCAGGUAAAACACAAUACAUGUGGCACGCCCGCUAUGUAAAAGUAAUUUUUGUCAAUGUCAAAACUAAAGGUGUUGUGUUUUUCUUUUUAACUCUUUGGGUGCCCCACCACCCAGCUCCCAAAUAAAUACAC